UCCCCCCUAGCUCAGUUGGCAGAGCGGGUGACUGUUAAUCACUAGGUCGUUGGUUCGAGCCCAACGGGGGGAG
Molecule: transfer RNA, 73 nt
Filed under: Spirochaetes bacterium GWF1_49_6
Lineage: Bacteria; Pseudomonadati; Spirochaetota
Also listed under: 1 other name
Description: tRNA-Asn
Rfam family: tRNA
About the family: Transfer RNA (tRNA) molecules are approximately 80 nucleotides in length. Their secondary structure includes four short double-helical elements and three loops (D, anti-codon, and T loops).
Source: RNAcentral